CUGAUAAGCUUGCGCGCGGUCAGCGAGGGCAGCGAGCGUGUCAGAAGUCAACUAGCGCCACGUAGAGGAACUAAAAAACUGGGACAAAACGCGUACAAUUUUUUAGUAUACGAGCAGUGGUGAGUGUCAGGGGGAUGUUACGGAACCUGUUCUUCCAUGU
Molecule: long non-coding RNA, 160 nt
Organism: Neodiprion fabricii
Lineage: Eukaryota; Metazoa; Arthropoda; Insecta; Hymenoptera; Diprionidae
Exons: 4
Source: RefSeq, a predicted model, not a curated record